Thalassophryne amazonica is the source of this 100-nucleotide long non-coding RNA. RefSeq lists it as uncharacterized. The record is from RefSeq and is a predicted model, not a curated record. Lineage: Eukaryota; Metazoa; Chordata; Actinopteri; Batrachoidiformes; Batrachoididae. The transcript has 3 exons.
AGUGCAGAAUGGGGGAUUGGAGAUCACAAGUGUUCAGCUUAGGCUUGCACCCUUGCCCUUUACACACUGAAAUUCCUCCAGAUUCCUUUAAUUGAGUGAU